UACGUAGGCAGCAAGCGUUGUUCGGAGUUACUGGGCGUAAAGGGUGCGUAGGUGGCUCUAUAAGUAUGGUGUGAAAUCGUCCCGGCUUAACUGGGAGGGUGCACCGUAGACUGUGGGGCUAGAGUGUGGGAGAGGAAAGUGGAAUUCCUGGUGUAGCGGUGAAAUGCGUAGAUAUCAGGAGGAACACCGGUGGUGUAAACGGCUUUCUGGACCAUAACUGACACUGAGGCACGAAAGCGUGGGUAGCAAACAGG
RNAcentral lists this ribosomal RNA (254 nucleotides) under uncultured bacterium. RNAcentral's name for it is "partial 16S ribosomal RNA". It matches the Rfam family "Bacterial small subunit ribosomal RNA", at positions 524 to 776 of the family's 1533-position model. The record is from RNAcentral.